GGUGAUCGUAGCUCAGUUGGUUAGAGCGCUAGAUUGUGGCUCUAGAGGUCGGGGGUUCGAAUCCCCUCGUUCACCC
RNAcentral lists this transfer RNA (76 nucleotides) under Bacteroidales bacterium. RNAcentral's name for it is "tRNA-His". It matches the Rfam family "tRNA". From Rfam's summary of the family: Transfer RNA (tRNA) molecules are approximately 80 nucleotides in length. Their secondary structure includes four short double-helical elements and three loops (D, anti-codon, and T loops). Further hydrogen bonds mediate the characteristic L-shaped molecular structure. tRNAs have two regions of fundamental functional importance: the anti-codon, which is responsible for specific mRNA codon recognition, and the 3' end, to which the tRNAs corresponding amino acid is attached (by aminoacyl-tRNA synthetases). tRNAs cope with the degeneracy of the genetic code in two manners: having more than one tRNA (with a specific anti-codon) for a particular amino acid; and 'wobble' base-pairing, i.e. permitting non-standard base-pairing at the 3rd anti-codon position. The record is from RNAcentral. Lineage: Bacteria; Pseudomonadati; Bacteroidota; Bacteroidia; Bacteroidales. RNAcentral also lists the same sequence under 2 other names.